This 253-nucleotide ribosomal RNA is filed under the name uncultured microorganism. RNAcentral's name for it is "partial 16S ribosomal RNA". It matches the Rfam family "Bacterial small subunit ribosomal RNA", at positions 524 to 776 of the family's 1533-position model. The record is from RNAcentral.
UACGUAGGGUGCGAGCGUUAAUCGGAUUUACUGGGCGUAAAGCGUGCGCAGGCGGCCCGUUAAGACAGGUGUGAAAUCCCUGGGCUCAACCUAGGAAUUGCGCUUGUGACUGGCGGGCUCGAGUACGGUAGAGGGGGGUGGAAUUCCUGGUGUAGCGGUGAAAUGCGCAGAUAUCAGGAGGAACACCGAUGGCGAAGGCAGCCCCCUGGGCCUGUACUGACGCUCAUGCACGAAAGCGUGGGGAGCAAACAGG